CCCCACAGGGAGCAGAGGGCACACAGGGGCCCUGCACCAACAGCAGGGCACUAAAGGGGGCUGAAGGACACAAGGAGCAGACAUUUGCAGCCUUCUGAAGUGCUCUGGUGUUACUCUGUGUGGGCAGAUGCCUGAAGCCUUCUGAUGAGGACAGGGCUAGCAUGAAGAAUCACAGGAACUGCUGUGUCAUUUGAUACUCAGCCUGGGGGAAAGGAGCUGGAAAGACUGGACUUGAACCUUGUUAGGUUUUGGGGUGCUGCUCCUCCAGGGAGUGUGGCCCUGGUCACCCUCCACCUCCAGGCAGCAGAGGAGACAAAGACCCUGCUCUUUGGGGUGGAGAGAGGGGAGAUGCUCUGCCAGCACAGCCUCAGCCCUGGGAAACUUCCUCUGCCACUUCUUCCCUGGCUCCUGUGUUUGCCAUUGAAUUCAAUUAUUUUAACAUUUAUUUAUUCAAUUAUUUUAACAUUUAUAUAUUCAAUUAUUUUAACAUUUAUACAUUAAAUUUAUAAAAACCUUUUAUUUGUUUAAUAUUAUGGUAUUUCAGCUAACGGUUCCUUUUUGGUUUUCCCCAGUGUUUCAAAAUCAAGCUUCAGAAAACUGUUAGGGUGAAGGAAGUUUCCUUUCUCUGUGUCCUUGUUUCUGUAGGCACUCUGCCUCCUUCAUAACAGAAGUAUUAUUUACCUGUCUUAAGAAUAUUUUAAGG
Molecule: long non-coding RNA, 703 nt
Organism: Passer domesticus (house sparrow)
Lineage: Eukaryota; Metazoa; Chordata; Aves; Passeriformes; Passeridae
Exons: 3
Source: RefSeq, a predicted model, not a curated record